This 1190-nucleotide long non-coding RNA is filed under the name Erythranthe guttata (spotted monkey flower). Its description in RNAcentral is "long non-coding RNA (EGUT_LNC003428)". Lineage: Eukaryota; Viridiplantae; Streptophyta; Magnoliopsida; Lamiales; Phrymaceae. The record is from RNAcentral.
ACCCAAGUAAGAACAGGAAAUGUUAUGGUCAUAUAACGUAGAAAUCUGAAAAUUGAAUGAUAAGAAUGAUUAUUACAUAAGAAUAUAUAAUCUGGAACUGACAAAAUCAUAUCCAGCAGUACACUCCACUAAACCCACUGAUCAACAUAUUACACAAUCAGAAACAAAAUAAAUUAUCUUGCCAUCAGAUCUCUAGCUUAAGCAAUUGGCGAUCCUAUCCAAAUUAUCCAGGUGUACAUAAGCUCUAGUAAAAUCAGAUCCGACGUUCUAGUUGCACAGUUAGCUUAGCCCCAUAAAAUAAAGAUGAAACAAGCACAACCUUCGUAAAGCCACAAAACAGAAAGUACCAAAUAGUAGGACGGGCACCAAAACGUUUGUUGCAAAUUUCUGCAAACAAGUAGGAAAAGCAGUAAAGGGAUUUAACAUAUACAUUAAAAAAAUUGUGAUAUAAAGUUAGAAAAAUGAGGAGGAUGAGGAAGAAAGAGAAAGCGAGAUUGAACAAUAUCUGGAACUGACGGGUGUCUCAGAAAUAUCGUAUCGGUAUUGCACAUAUAUACAUAUCAUAAGGAGAAUCAAAUCUCAAUCAGAAGAUUCCGAGACAAAUAGGUUGAACAUCCGGUCGUAUAUGGUUGUAUAUGCAUAUCAAAAGGAAGAAACUUUAACAGACACUCUUGCUUAGAAUCAUCAGCCAAAACAUCUUAUACCGACCUUGUCAGAGGAACAGAACAACACAAUUAUGACGAGGAGAGAACAUACUCGUAUUCAAAGCGCUUUCUUCUACAAAGAAUCAUAUUCAAGGUUGAGCGAAAAUCAAAUCAGCCGAUUACCAAACCCUAGCAAGAUAAAACACAAUCCAAACGCAAAAACCACUUGUUGAUGAAUAACCGAACAUCAUACCUAAUACCACGCCGGAUCAAAAUCACCAAAAGAAAACCAAUUCAGAAUCACAAUCAAACGACCGGCGAAGAAUCCACGACGCUCCGAUUGUCAGACCGGCAAAAUAACCCAGAUAAAUCAAAUCAGGACCCUACAAUCAGACGGUAUCGCGAAAGAGAAAAAAAAAACAUGGGACGGAUAAUCGCCGCUGAUUGAAUUGAAUUGCGCAGGUUUCAUAGCGACGAAAAUACAUAUACAAUCUGAAAAACGGAAACGACAAAUAAACAUCCGCAGAGAACCAAAGGCAAUCAAAC